UGGGCGCUGUUAUUAUUACACGAUUGGCUCCGAGACGCACUCGGAGUAUCUCCAGACCUUUUAUACACGAUGCUUAUGUAACGAUCAGCCACCGUAGUCGACAAUGAAAUUGUUAUCAGUUUGACUGUUGGGCCUGCUUUGGAAGUUAUUUAUCAGUGAAUUAGGACGAAGUCGCUCAUGGCUUAGAUAAUCGUUGGAAGACCGACACAAGCGGUACAUUACAUCUUACAGUGUCGCAUCAAAAUACAGAAUGGCAGAAAUAACGGAACAAACGAAAGAUGGAGCGGCGAAAGUGGUUUUCAUGAUCGUAGUCUUUAUUGCUGCAACAGCUACAAGAGGUGACUGGCUGUUGUUUAUGGUUUACAUAAGCAAAUCGCAAUGGCAGACGAUGUUGAACACUUCCGCCCUGUACGAGCAGGUGAACGAUUCCGUGUCGUCUGGGGACGUGGGAUUACUGGAGAGCUGGAAAUUACAAAACCUACCGAUUUUCCUCCUGCUAGCUGUGACGUCAUCGUUUGUGAUGUACUACGGAGUUGCGUAUGGAUUUAUGUGGUAUUUCUACAUAAACCGUCGGGACAAGGCUCACGAGUGGAAGUGCCAACCAGACAAGUUUUUGACACCGUCGAAUGAGAGACAUGAGAUUCUGCUUGGGUCGGCUAACAUGCUUGGCGGUUCUUUAGUAUCAGGGGUCAUUGCGUGCUAUAUAAUGAACGGUGGUUAUAGCAGUAUGUACUACGGGCUUUCUGACUACGGCUGGAGUUACCUUCCCCUGUCGGCAUUUGCGAUGUUCAUGUACAACGACUGUCUAGCAUACUACCUCCACCGCCUGUUCCACUAUCCUUUUCUGUACCGGCAUAUCCACAAGAUGCACCACCGAUACCACCAGCCGACGGCCUUCUCUGCUGUGGCCAUGCACCCGGCCGAGUUUGUUCUGUACCAGGGGUAUUUGGCGGCGAUCCCUUUUAUGGUACCCAUCCACCCAGGCUCAACAGAUAAGUUCUGGAUUCUGACUGAAGAACCAGGUGAGAGAUACAGGCCUUCUGCACUUCAUGUUCAAGAUCUGGGAUGAAGCAUCAAGUUUUAGUUCUCCUUAGAAUUCUUAUGGCUUUCUCAUAGUGUGGAGUUAUAAUGAUACAGCUGUCUAUGUUCCCGUCCUACUGUAUACCUACUACUACGGACUGAUGGAC
RNAcentral lists this unclassified non-coding RNA (1187 nucleotides) under Mizuhopecten yessoensis (Yesso scallop). RNAcentral's name for it is "delta(7)-sterol 5(6)-desaturase erg32-like, transcript variant X2". The record is from RNAcentral. Lineage: Eukaryota; Metazoa; Mollusca; Bivalvia; Pectinida; Pectinidae.